GCGGCGGUGACCGGAAUUGGAUAACGGCUCCGACUGCUAAUCGGAAGAGCUGCCGGCGUGAACAAUGUCACCUGGGCACGUCAGCAUGCUUGCGGGUUCAAGUCCCGCCCGUCGCG
RNAcentral lists this transfer RNA (116 nucleotides) under Pseudomonadota bacterium. RNAcentral's name for it is "tRNA-Ser". It matches the Rfam family "tRNA". From Rfam's summary of the family: Transfer RNA (tRNA) molecules are approximately 80 nucleotides in length. Lineage: Bacteria; Pseudomonadati; Pseudomonadota. The record is from RNAcentral.